GGCGGCGUGCCUAAUACAUGCAAGUAGAACGCUGAAGGAAGGAGCUUGCUCUUUCCGGAUGAGUUGCGAACGGGUGAGUAACGCGUAGGUAACCUGCCUGGUAGCGGGGGAUAACUAUUGGAAACGAUAGCUAAUACCGCAUAACAGUAGAUAUCGCAUGAUAGCUGCUUGAAAGGUGCAAUUGCACCACUACCAGAUGGACCCGCGUUGUAUUAGCUAGUUGGUGAGGUAACGGCUCACCAAGGCAACGAUACAUAGCCGACCUGAGAGGGUGAUCGGCCACACUGGGACUGAGACACGGCCCAGACUCCUACGGGAGGCAGCAGUAGGGAAUCUUCGGCAAUGGACGGAAGUCUGACCGAGCAACGCCGCGUGAGUGAAGAAGGUUUUCGAAUCGUAAAGCUCUGAUGUAAGAGAAGAACGAGUGUGAGAGUGGAAAGUUCACACUGUGA
Molecule: ribosomal RNA, 452 nt
Filed under: Streptococcus infantis
Lineage: Bacteria; Bacillati; Bacillota; Bacilli; Lactobacillales; Streptococcaceae
Description: bacterial SSU rRNA
Rfam family: Bacterial small subunit ribosomal RNA
Source: RNAcentral